AUGCUGGAGGUAUCAGAAGUGCGAAUGCUGACAUAAGUAACGAUAAAGCGGGUGAAAAGCCCGCUCGCCGGAAGACCAAGGGUUCCUGUCCAACGUUAAUCGGGGCAGGGUGAGUCGACCCCUAAGGCGAGGCCGAAAGGCGUAGUCGAUGGGAAACAGGUUAAUAUUCCUGUACUUGGUGUUACUGCGAAGGGGGGACGGAGAAGGCUAUGUUGGCCGGGCGACGGUUGUCCCGGUUUAAGCGUGUAGGCUGGUUUUCCAGGCAAAUCCGGAAAAUCAAGGCUGAGGCGUGAUGACGAGGCACUACGGUGCUGAAGCAACAAAUGCCCUGCUUCCAGGAAAAGCCUCUAAGCAUCAGGUAACAUCAAAUCGUACCCCAAACCGACACAGGUGGUCAGGUAGAGAAUACCAAGGCGCUUGAGAGAACUCGGGUGAAGGAACUAGGCAAAAUGGUGCCGUAACUUCGGGAGAAGGCACGCUGAUAUGUAGGUGAAGUCCCUCGCGGAUGGAGCUGAAAUCAGUCGAAGAUACCAGCUGGCUGCAACUGUUUAUUAAAAACACAGCACUGUGCAAACACGAAAGUGGACGUAUACGGUGUGACGCCUGCCCGGUGCCGGAAGGUUAAUUGAUGGGGUUAGCGCAAGCGAAGCUCUUGAUCGAAGCCCCGGUAAACGGCGGCCGUAACUAUAACGGUCCUAAGGUAGCGAAAUUCCUUGUCGGGUAAGUUCCGACCUGCACGAAUGGCGUAAUGAUGGCCAGGCUGUCUCCACCCGAGACUCAGUGAAAUUGAACUCGCUGUGAAGAUGCAGUGUACCCGCGGCAAGACGGAAAGACCCCGUGAACCUUUACUAUAGCUUGACACUGAACAUUGAGCCUUGAUGUGUAGGAUAGGUGGGAGGCUUUGAAGUGUGGACGCCAGUCUGCAUGGAGCCGACCUUGAAAUACCACCCUUUAAUGUUUGAUGUUCUAACGUUGACCCGUAAUCCGGGUUGCGGACAGUGUCUGGUGGGUAGUUUGACUGGGGCGGUCUCCUCCUAAAGAGUAACGGAGGAGCACGAAGGUUGGCUAAUCCUGGUCGGACAUCAGGAGGUUAGUGCAAUGGCAUAAGCCAGCUUGACUGCGAGCGUGACGGCGCGAGCAGGUGCGAAAGCAGGUCAUAGUGAUCCGGUGGUUCUGAAUGGAAGGGCCAUCGCUCAACGGAUAAAAGGUACUCCGGGGAUAACAGGCUGAUACCGCCCAAGAGUUCAUAUCGACGGCGGUGUUUGGCACCUCGAUGUCGGCUCAUCACAUCCUGGGGCUGAAGUAGGUCCCAAGGGUAUGGCUGUUCGCCAUUUAAAGUGGUACGCGAGCUGGGUUUAGAACGUCGUGAGACAGUUCGGUCCCUAUCUGCCGUGGGCGCUGGAGAACUGAGGGGGGCUGCUCCUAGUACGAGAGGACCGGAGUGGACGCAUCACUGGUGUUCGGGUUGUCAUGCCAAUGGCACUGCCCGGUAGCUAAAUGCGGAAGAGAUAAGUGCUGAAAGCAUCUAAGCACGAAACUUGCCCCGAGAUGAGUUCUCCCUGACYCYUURAGRGUCCUGAAGGAACGUUGAAGACGACGACGUUGAUAGGCCGGRUGUGUAAGCGCAGCGAUGCGUUGAGCUAACCGGUACUAAUGAACCGUGAGGCUUAACCUU
Molecule: ribosomal RNA, 1675 nt
Filed under: Escherichia coli
Lineage: Bacteria; Pseudomonadati; Pseudomonadota; Gammaproteobacteria; Enterobacterales; Enterobacteriaceae
Description: bacterial LSU rRNA
Source: RNAcentral